GCCGCCGAAACCCAAAUCCCCACCCGACCGAGCCGCCGCUCCCCGACGCCCCGUCCCUCCGCAGAGCCAGCCCGCCCACAGCCGCGAUGGAGGAGGAGAUCCGCGCGGAGUUCGAGGGCAGCGGCUUCACCAUCGGCGGCGACAGCGCCCAGAUCCUCUCCACGCUGCUGACCUACUGCGUCAACUACAAGAUGAGCCCCGCGGAUCUCGUCUCCAACUGGGAGGUCUACUACCUCAACAGGCAACUGGAUGGGUUAAAGGUUGAAAGCUCAUACCUGGAUGGCUUUCUGUCACACCUUCAAAAUGAAGUAAAGGAAAAGCUUAUAAAAGAAGAAACAGACCUUCACAUUUACUCCAGUAAUGAUGUUGACAUGCUCUUGAGCAAUACACACACAGAUGAAGAGGGCUUCCUGGGCACACCAAGCACGAAACAGGAAAAGCCACAUGGAGAGUCAUCUAACUCCGAGCUAACUCCUCUGACAACUGAAAGGCCAUCAUCCACAAGAGCGGCUAAAACAAAUGGUGAUCGUAUUACCCCUUUUGCUCAACGAGUAAAUAAAUUUACUCAGCAUUAUGUUCUGAAUGCUGAUAACAUGGCUAGCGUGCCAAGUAAAGACGAGGUUGAAACCUCAGAAGAUGAAUUAAUUAGAAGGAUCCAACCAAGUCAAAAAUGUACCUUGCAAGUUCAACGAUCAAAGCCCGAACCAGGUUGCAGGUUCAUGUAUGACAGGAUGGAAGACCGAUUUAAUUACCUGGAAGAUCGUAUUGGAAGGUCAGCAAGAUUGUUUUCUGCAACUGGGCUUUGUGGACAACCUGCAGAUGCUACCCUUGCUUCAGAGGAGAACAUGUUUGCAGUUGGCAUGGUAAUUUGCGAUGGGGAAGGUCGUUUGAAUGAAAAAUCUAUCUUGUUGCAGGGCAGUGUUGAGCACUCCAGGGGACAGCGUGUACGCCUUGAUUUGAAGGAUAUAAACCAAUUCUCUUUGUUUCCUGGCCAGGUUGUGGGUAUUGAAGGCCACAAUCCUAGUGGACACUGUUUUGUCGCAUCAAAGUUGAUUGAUUCCAUACCAGUUUCUGUGGAUGAUCAACUGCCUUGUGCUAAGAAACAAGCUGUUGACCAUGAAGGACAUCAAAAUUCGAACACACUAUCAAGGGUGUUGUCAUUGGUCAUUGCAGCAGGUCCCUUCACAACAACCGACAAUCUUUUGUUCGAGCCAUUGCAAGAAUUACUCUCGUAUGCAUGCCGUAAGCAGCCCCAAUUGCUCAUACUGAUGGGACCCUUUAUCGACUCUGAUCAUCCUGAAAUCAAAAAAGGAACUUCUGACCAGAGCUUUCAUGAUAUUUUCCAUUUUGAGAUUCUGAGGAAGCUUCAAGAUUUUACCCAGUAUUUGGGGCAUAAUGUUCGCGUAAUUCUUGUUCCAUCUGUGCGUGAUGCUCACCAUGACGCUGUUUUCCCCCAGCCUGCAUUUGACUUGCAUUUACCUGAAGAUAUGACACAACAGAUUACUUGUCUGUCAAAUCCAAGUCUGUUCAGUUCUAAUGAGAUACAAUUUGGCUGUUGCACGGUAGACAUCUUGAAACAGCUGAGUGGUGAUGAAAUUUCUCGCAAGCCACCUGGAGGAAAGGCCGCAGAUAGGAUUGGGAGACUUGCAACACAUAUAGUGAAGCAACAAAGCUACUACCCUCUGUAUCCACCUGCUGCUGGUGUGCCCAUGGACUUCUCACUUGCCAAGGAAGCAUUGGAGAUCCCAUCAGCUCCUGAUGUUCUUCUGCUUCCUUCUGAUCUUGCUCCAUCUGUGAAGGUGCUUUCCGUAAACGAAGACACGGAGGAACAUAAAAGGUUCAUCUGUGUGAACCCUGGGAGGCUAGCAAAAGGUAUCGGUGGAGGCACGUUUGUAGAGCUUUACUACAACGAGGACACUGAGAAGACGAAAGCCUUCAUUAUGCGCAUCUAAGAAAGAAUUUGUAACAUUUUCCUAUUCACCAAGUACCGGACUGGAAAAAUGAGACUAGUGUGAAGUACAUCCGUUCUGUUCUUUUUGCCCCACUCUGCUGUGAAUUGGAUCCAGGGAGUCUGUAAGCCUGUAUUUCUAGUUAGAAUUUGUAGCAUUUUCCUAUCGACCAAGUACCGGACUGGAAAGAUGAGACUAGUGUGAAGUACAUCCGUUCUGUUCUUAGUGCCCUACUGCUGUGAAUUGGAUCCAGGGAGUCCGUAAGCCUGUAAUUCUAGUUAGUUAAUUCACCUUAGUAUUGGUGGAAAACAUUCUCCGAAACUUAUUUGUAACCUGUACGUACAUUUUAUAUUCAGCACAAACUCAACAUUCUAUAUUUGGGAAUUUA
This is an RNA transcript of Triticum dicoccoides, 2337 nucleotides long. It is a transcript of the gene named DNA polymerase alpha subunit B-like, with no coding region annotated. The transcript has 18 exons. Lineage: Eukaryota; Viridiplantae; Streptophyta; Magnoliopsida; Poales; Poaceae. The record is from RefSeq and is a predicted model, not a curated record.